UAAUUUUGAACUUUUUAAUCAAAGUUUCAUCUCAAUUGUUUUUACCCAAAGAGUUCUUGUUUAAAACUAAUGAAAAUAUAUACUGUUUGGCAAAAGAGAAUGCGUUUACGAAAUUGCUUUUGUUUAAAUAAUUUCCACCUUUUGGCUUGACUAAAAUCUAAUAUUGCCUCCAAAAAGUAAUAAAAAACUUGGAAAUUGUGCCAUAUAUUAAGAUUAAAAAAGAAAUAUUUUGUGUAUACAGAAAAUACAAAAUCCAUAUGGAUAUAAAAUAAUUGAUCAUCAUUUCAGUGUACGAAUAACUUAUUCGGAUUUUAUUUACUGGCGUUUUAAUGGGUAAAUACUUAUUUAUAGUGUGUUCAUUUGAUAGUAUUGUAGAACGGAGAUGAUUGUUUGUUUGGUUUGCGUUAAAUAUGACCACUUAACUUAGGGUUCUAAUCGAAAUCCCACUAUAUAAAAGCUACUAAUUUUAGAUGUUAUAAAGGAUGCCACAUAGGCAAAAUAUUCUCAGCCAUUCAUUCUGCCAUGUCACUGGUAACCCAGACCAACAAAUCGUAAUUGCAGCCCAGCCCGUUAACCGGUUUCGCUCACGAAAUUGCUGUCUCCGUCUCUUUGCUGUUGGGCCAGAUUAAAAAAUUUUCCAGCCCAUCCCAUUACUUAUUUCAACUUUCAAACUAUUUUCUUUUGCAUUUUCUAUUAUUUCAGACAAUUUUUUAUUUCAGCUGUUUUCUAUAACAAUGUGCAAACCGCCUAAGUUCCCUUUGAUCUUAAAAUAGUACGCCCAAGAUAACAAAACCCCCUCAUUUCACACACAGUCCCUGUAAAUUUCUAUAAAAAACUAAAUUCUACUAUCAAACCCACCCAACAAAUUUACUACUACCACCUAUAAUUAUGGCCCGGCCUACUUAAACUUUAAAAAAAAACAUGACAAUACUUAAAAAAAACACACCCUAACUAUGUUCACUUCAAAAAAAAAAAAUUAAACAAAAUUGCCAAAAAAAUACUAAUUCUCAUUCUUAUCUAUGUAGCACAUGCACCACAAGAUCAAAGCAAUUAGGACAACACCCUCGAACCUCAUCCAAUAAUCGUUAGGAUCCUUAGGGUCUGGCCCAUCACAAAUCACAAAAAUAAAGAUGCUUUCCUAGGGACAACUUUCAUAUGUCUUGACAUCCAGGUUUGUCUAAAAUUCAUAUUUUUAAUUAUUCCAACUAUAUUUCAAAUGAUUGCUUCUAACCACUAAACAGGAACAAAAAAUGGAGGGGAAGGUACCUAUUUCUACGUCUGACACAAUGUACCAACGCUUCGAAGAAGGAAAAAUUUAUCACAUUAGAUAUUUUAAUCUCCUCCCCAAUAACCAACGUUACAGGCUUACCGAUCAACCAUACAUAAUCAAUAUCAAAGAAACAACAACAAUUACACUGAUUCAAGAAAACAUUGCACCGAUUCCUUCAUACAUAUUCCGGCCACAACGCUACACCCAGUUGAUCAGCUUAGCAAGUGAAACCAACUUCCUACCAGGUAAAAAAAAAACAAAAACUCUCUCACACAAAAAUAAAUCCUAAUUUUUUUCCAAACAACCAAAUUAUUCCUACAGAUGUUGUUGGCCGCAUUUGCCUCAUCCAAGGAAGUGAUUUAUAUAACCACUACACAGAUUCAAAAAUCAUCAUUGGAUUACGUUUAGACAGAUCGAAAUUGGUACGUCUAACUUUAUGGGACAAGGAGGCAUCUAAUUUCAGAGAGUUAAAUCGCAUAUCAACAAGGAAAAAACAAGUCGUAAUCAUCACAAGUAUCAUUCCACGGAUACAUGAAGGUAAUAAACUAAACAUAAACUUUACAAAAAACUAAAUGCUAACAAAUAUUUGCCUUUUUCAGAAAAACUAUCACUCACAGCAACACCUGGAACGCGCUUCUACUUUAACAACGAAAUUGAUAUCAUUCAACGCUUCUAAAAGAGGAAUAAACUGCUAUCCUAAGCCUCAUAGCAAACACCACCAGUCAACUUUUAAAACAUUUACGUUACCACUUCCUACAUCAAUUAAAUUGUCACACACAAAGAUUAUUUUCUCAUUCAAAUAUCGAAUUCCUCAAAACUAUUUAUUAUUCAUACUUACAGUUGUUUUUUUUAAAAAAAUGAUCACCGUUUCGAACUUCUCCCCUGUAUAAAAAAACAAAACUUAACUUAUCAUUUCAGAAACCAAAAAACA
Molecule: long non-coding RNA, 2201 nt
Organism: Brassica rapa (field mustard)
Lineage: Eukaryota; Viridiplantae; Streptophyta; Magnoliopsida; Brassicales; Brassicaceae
Source: RefSeq, a predicted model, not a curated record